RNAcentral lists this long non-coding RNA (456 nucleotides) under Elaeis guineensis (African oil palm). RNAcentral's name for it is "long non-coding RNA (EGUI_LNC036121)". Lineage: Eukaryota; Viridiplantae; Streptophyta; Magnoliopsida; Arecales; Arecaceae. The record is from RNAcentral.
GGUCAAGUCAGAUCAAGUGAUGGUGUAGGUUAGAUCGAAUCAAAUAGAUAAGAGAAGUUAGAUUGGAUUGAAUAAAAAAUUCAUCAUACAAAUAUUAUAAAAUAAUUAUAAUUUUGAAAAGAUAAAUUUAAAUGAAUAUUAUAUCGGAUUGGACUUGGGACGAGACAUACCAUUACUCGUAUCUGAUCUAAACCUACUUCAAAUAUUUUAUCUAAAACUCAUACUAUUAUGAAUUUUAAUCGGAUCGAAUAAAAUUUAUCAGGUUAGAUAUCUAUUGGGUUGGCUAAAAUUACCGUCCUGAGGUUGGGUGCCCACCUUAUUUCUUGAAAAAGUUGCUAGAAACAAGAUCCCAUGUCAUGCUAUUCUGGCAACCAGAGGGCUGAAUACCGUGCUAGACUAUGAUUGCCACCCAGGAGUAGUUGAAACUACGACCCACGUACUCCUCCAAUGCAUGAG